This 479-nucleotide ribosomal RNA is filed under the name uncultured Glomus. Its description in RNAcentral is "SSU rRNA". It matches the Rfam family "Eukaryotic small subunit ribosomal RNA", at positions 569 to 1053 of the family's 1831-position model. The record is from RNAcentral. Lineage: Eukaryota; Fungi; Glomeromycota; Glomeromycetes; Glomerales; Glomeraceae.
AGCAGCCGCGGUAAUUCCAGCUCCAAUAGCGUAUAUUAAAGUUGUUGCAGUUAAAAAGCUCGUAGUUGAAUUUCGGGAUCAAUAUAUCGGUCAUGCUUAGGUAUGUACUGGUAUUAUUGAUUUCUCCCUUCUGAAGAACCAUGAUGUCAUUAAUUUGAUGUCGUGGGGAAUCAGGACUGUUACUUUGAAAAAAUUAGAGUGUUUAAAGCAGGCAUACGCUUGAAUACAUUAGCAUGGAAUAAUGAAAUAGGACGUUUGAUUCUAUUUUGUUGGUUUCUAGGAUCGACGUAAUGAUUAAUAGGGAUAGUUGGGGGCAUUAGUAUUCAAUUGUCAGAGGUGAAAUUCUUGGAUUUAUUGAAGACUAACUACUGCGAAAGCAUUUGCCAAGGAUGUUUUCAUUAAUCAAGAACGAAAGUUAGGGGAUCGAAGACGAUCAGAUACCGUCGUAGUCUUAACCAUAAACUAUGCCGACUAGGGAU